This 503-nucleotide ribosomal RNA is filed under the name uncultured bacterium. RNAcentral describes it as "partial 16S ribosomal RNA". It matches the Rfam family "Bacterial small subunit ribosomal RNA", at positions 28 to 523 of the family's 1533-position model. The record is from RNAcentral.
GAUGAACGCUAGCGGCAGGCCUAACACAUGCAAGUCGAGGGGUAGCAGGAUUAAGCUUGCUUAAUUGCUGACGACCGGCGCACGGGUGCGUAACGCGUAUGCAACCUACCUUAUACUGGGGUAUAGCCCGGAGAAAUUCGGAUUAAUCCCCCAUAGUACUAAUGAAUCGCAUGGUUUAUUAGUUAAAGCAUUGCGGUAUAAGAUGGGCAUGCGUCCUAUUAGCUAGAUGGUGAGGUAACGGCUCACCAUGGCUACGAUAGGUAGGGGGCCUGGGAGGGUGGGACCCCACACUGGUACUGAGACACGGACCAGCCGCCUACGGGAGGCAGCAGUGAGGAAGAUUGGUCAAUGGGCGCAAGCCUGAACCAGCCAUGCCGCGUGCAGGAAGAAUGCCCUAUGGGUUGUAAACUGCUUUUAUUUGGGAAUAAACCUCUUUACGUGUAGAGAGCUGAAGGUACCAAAUGAAUAAGCACCGGCUAACUCCGUGCCAGCAGCCGCAGUAA